GUCUUCGUAGUAUAAUUUAUUAUUUUGGUCUUGUAAACCAAAGAUGGGAAAAAGUAAUUCCCCAAAGAUA
This 70-nucleotide transfer RNA is filed under the name Hylomys suillus (short-tailed gymnure). RNAcentral describes it as "transfer RNA-Thr". The record is from RNAcentral. RNAcentral also lists the same sequence under 1 other name. Lineage: Eukaryota; Metazoa; Chordata; Mammalia; Eulipotyphla; Erinaceidae.